GCCCGUGUGGUGAAAUGGUAGACACACGAGACUUAAAAUCUCUUGCUCCUUCGGAGCGUGCCGGUUCGAGUCCGGCCACGGGCA
RNAcentral lists this transfer RNA (84 nucleotides) under Limimaricola cinnabarinus LL-001. RNAcentral describes it as "tRNA-Leu". It matches the Rfam family "tRNA". From Rfam's summary of the family: Transfer RNA (tRNA) molecules are approximately 80 nucleotides in length. Their secondary structure includes four short double-helical elements and three loops (D, anti-codon, and T loops). Further hydrogen bonds mediate the characteristic L-shaped molecular structure. tRNAs have two regions of fundamental functional importance: the anti-codon, which is responsible for specific mRNA codon recognition, and the 3' end, to which the tRNAs corresponding amino acid is attached (by aminoacyl-tRNA synthetases). tRNAs cope with the degeneracy of the genetic code in two manners: having more than one tRNA (with a specific anti-codon) for a particular amino acid; and 'wobble' base-pairing, i.e. permitting non-standard base-pairing at the 3rd anti-codon position. Lineage: Bacteria; Pseudomonadati; Pseudomonadota; Alphaproteobacteria; Rhodobacterales; Paracoccaceae. The record is from RNAcentral.